Molecule: ribosomal RNA, 500 nt
Filed under: uncultured bacterium
Lineage: Bacteria
Description: partial 16S ribosomal RNA
Rfam family: Bacterial small subunit ribosomal RNA
Source: RNAcentral
AUUGAACGCUGGCGGCAUGCCUUACACAUGCAAGUCGAACGGCAGCACGGGAGCAAUCCUGGUGGCGAGUGGCGAACGGGUGAGUAAUAUAUCGGAACGUGCCCAGUAGUGGGGGAUAGCCCGGCGAAAGCCGGAUUAAUACCGCAUACGACCUGAGGGUGAAAGCGGGGGAUCGCAAGACCUCGCGCUAUUGGAGCGGCCGAUAUCAGAUUAGCUUGUUGGUGGGGUAAAAGCCUACCAAGGCGACGAUCUGUAGCUGGUCUGAGAGGACGACCAGCCACACUGGGACUGAGACACGGCCCAGACUCCUACGGGAGGCAGCAGUGGGGAAUUUUGGACAAUGGGCGCAAGCCUGAUCCAGCCAUGCCGCGUGCGGGAAGAAGGCCUUCGGGUUGUAAACCGCUUUUGUCAGGGAAGAAACGGCUCUUGAUAAUACCGAGAGCUAAUGACGGUACCUGAAGAAUAAGCACCGGCUAACUACGUGCCAGCCGCCGCGGUAA